CUACGGGGUGCUCCAGUGGGGAAUAUUGCACAAUGGGCGCAAGCCUGAUGCAGCCAUGCCGCGUGUAUGAAGAAGGCCUUCGGGUUGUAAAGUACUUUCAGCGGGGAGGAAGGGAGUAAAGUUAAUACCUUUGCUCAUUGACGUUACCCGCAGAAGAAGCACCGGCUAACUCCGUGCCAGCAGCCGCGGUAAUACGGAGGGUGCAAGCGUUAAUCGGAAUUACUGGGCGUAAAGCGCACGCAGGCGGUUUGUUAAGUCAGAUGUGAAAUCCCCGGGCUCAACCUGGGAACUGCAGCUGAUACUGGCAAGCUAGAGUCUCGUAGAGGGGGGUAGAAUUCCAGGUGUAGCGGUGAAAUGCGUAGAGAUCUGGAGGAAUACCGGUGGCGAAGGCGGCCCCCUGGACGAAGACUGACGCUCAGGUGCGAAAGCGUGGGGAGCAAACAGGAUUAGAUACCCCGGUAGUC
RNAcentral lists this ribosomal RNA (464 nucleotides) under uncultured bacterium. RNAcentral's name for it is "partial 16S ribosomal RNA". It matches the Rfam family "Bacterial small subunit ribosomal RNA", at positions 339 to 795 of the family's 1533-position model. The record is from RNAcentral.